UGAAGCAGUGAUGAUGAUUGGUCAUGUAGAAGUUUGGAUCAUGAAUAUUAUAGGUCUGAAACUCAGAGGUCCAG
Molecule: small nucleolar RNA, 74 nt
Organism: Rhinolophus ferrumequinum (greater horseshoe bat)
Lineage: Eukaryota; Metazoa; Chordata; Mammalia; Chiroptera; Rhinolophidae
Source: Ensembl